This 550-nucleotide ribosomal RNA is filed under the name Carnobacterium sp. 16DLWS2-2. RNAcentral describes it as "bacterial SSU rRNA". It matches the Rfam family "Bacterial small subunit ribosomal RNA", at positions 70 to 606 of the family's 1533-position model. The record is from RNAcentral. Lineage: Bacteria; Bacillati; Bacillota; Bacilli; Lactobacillales; Carnobacteriaceae.
UGCUUGCACUCGACUGGAAAGAGGAGUGGCGGACGGGUGAGUAACACGUGGGUAACCUGCCCAUAAGUGGGGGAUAACAUUCGGAAACGGAUGCUAAUACCGCAUAAUUCUGAUUGCCGCAUGGCAGACAGAUGAAAGGUGGCUUCGGCUACCGCUUAUGGAUGGACCCGCGGCGUAUUAGCUAGUUGGUGAGGUAAUGGCUCACCAAGGCAAUGAUACGUAGCCGACCUGAGAGGGUGAUCGGCCACACUGGGACUGAGACACGGCCCAGACUCCUACGGGAGGCAGCAGUAGGGAAUCUUCCGCAAUGGACGAAAGUCUGACGGAGCAAUGCCGCGUGAGUGAAGAAGGUUUUCGGAUCGUAAAACUCUGUUGUUAGAGAAGAACAAGGAUGAGAGUAACUGCUCAUCCCCUGACGGUAUCUAACCAGAAAGCCAUGGCUAACUACGUGCCAGCAGCCGCGGUAAUACGUAGAUGGCAAGCGUUGUCCGGAUUUAUUGGGCGUAAAGCGAGCGCAGGCGGUUCUUUAAGUCUGAUGUGAAAGACCCCA